This 871-nucleotide ribosomal RNA is filed under the name Vibrio sp. FALZ165. RNAcentral describes it as "bacterial SSU rRNA". It matches the Rfam family "Bacterial small subunit ribosomal RNA", at positions 61 to 911 of the family's 1533-position model. Lineage: Bacteria; Pseudomonadati; Pseudomonadota; Gammaproteobacteria; Vibrionales; Vibrionaceae. The record is from RNAcentral.
GUCGAGCGGAAACGAGUUAUCUGAACCUUCGGGGAACGAUAACGGCGUCGAGCGGCGGACGGGUGAGUAAUGCCUAGGAAAUUGCCCUGAUGUGGGGGAUAACCAUUGGAAACGAUGGCUAAUACCGCAUAAUGCCUACGGGCCAAAGAGGGGGACCUUCGGGCCUCUCGCGUCAGGAUAUGCCUAGGUGGGAUUAGCUAGUUGGUGAGGUAAGGGCUCACCAAGGCGACGAUCCCUAGCUGGUCUGAGAGGAUGAUCAGCCACACUGGAACUGAGACACGGUCCAGACUCCUACGGGAGGCAGCAGUGGGGAAUAUUGCACAAUGGGCGCAAGCCUGAUGCAGCCAUGCCGCGUGUGUGAAGAAGGCCUUCGGGUUGUAAAGCACUUUCAGUCGUGAGGAAGGUAGUGUAGUUAAUAGCUGCAUUAUUUGACGUUAGCGACAGAAGAAGCACCGGCUAACUCCGUGCCAGCAGCCGCGGUAAUACGGAGGGUGCGAGCGUUAAUCGGAAUUACUGGGCGUAAAGCGCAUGCAGGUGGUUUGUUAAGUCAGAUGUGAAAGCCCGGGGCUCAACCUCGGAAUUGCAUUUGAAACUGGCAGACUAGAGUACUGUAGAGGGGGGUAGAAUUUCAGGUGUAGCGGUGAAAUGCGUAGAGAUCUGAAGGAAUACCGGUGGCGAAGGCGGCCCCCUGGACAGAUACUGACACUCAGAUGCGAAAGCGUGGGGAGCAAACAGGAUUAGAUACCCUGGUAGUCCACGCCGUAAACGAUGUCUACUUGGAGGUUGUGGCCUUGAGCCGUGGCUUUCGGAGCUAACGCGUUAAGUAGACCGCCUGGGGAGUACGGUCGCAAGAUUAAAACUCAAAUGAAUU